This 56-nucleotide transfer RNA is filed under the name Amblyomma javanense. RNAcentral describes it as "tRNA-Cys". Lineage: Eukaryota; Metazoa; Arthropoda; Arachnida; Ixodida; Ixodidae. The record is from RNAcentral.
AAUCUUAUUUUAAUUUUAAACUGCAAAUUUAAAAAUGAAUAAAUUCUAAGAUUUUU